GAUAACCAGCAAAACGGCAAAGGGAGGCAGGAAAACCACCCGCAGGGAGGCCAGUGUGGGUUUAAGGUGAUGGCAUUCCCCAGCCCUGCCCGGCACCGGCCUCCCAAGCCUGGGACCUGGGGGCUCCCUGCCUCCUUCCAGAUGGAGGAAGUGAGACCAGGACCACAGACUGGGCGCUCCCUGCUGAGUCUGUGGCCCUGAAGGCUGUUCAGCUCUAAGCGUCGGUGCACGGACAGGCCAGACAGGGCUGUAUUGCUCCAAUCGCCCUGCAAGAAUCACAGCCAGACGGGGGCUUCCCGAGUGCUGCCCACCUUGCCGGCACGCAGGAGGAGGUGGCAUGGACUGGGGAGGAGGAAGCACUCUCACUCCUGCUGGAGCCUCUGCCCAGGAACCCCGAUUGGCCCAGCCGUCCCUGGGGAGGCCCAUCCCACGUGUCCCGCACCCCGUGUCUGUCAGCACUGAUCAGGGUCUCCCAGACACCUGCUCUGGGGUUGCCAUGGGGACGAGCGGGAGGGUGAGUGUGGCGCACACAGCUGUCUGUAGACACACAGAGGGCAUGCACGCAUGUGUCUGUGCUCACCUGCAUGUGUUCACACGGACUGGGCACCGCCGGAGGUGUUCACACAGCGGUGUACACCGACCCCUCUGCAGAUGUGCACACACCCAGCAAGGCUACGUCCACAGGCGUGUAUGUGUUCUUGCACCAGGAAGUGGGUCACGCCCCACACCACACAUCGUAUACUCUGUCCCUGCGGCACGCACCUGUCUGGGUGCACCAGGCAGUCUAAGCCCAUGUCACCUAUGUGUACACAUAUGUGCACAUACCUACUCAGGCACACCAGUGUGUGUACACGGCUGUCCAGGCACACUGGGCAGUCCAAGCCCACGCCUGCCCAGACUCUUGGAAUCGGGCACUUUCUGAGGCUGCCCCGAUGGGCGUUCCUUUCCCCAGCCAGUACAUCCUCUCUUCCUAACCCCACGUCUGCUGGACUCUUAAGGUGUCCACGCGGCCAUGAACAUCUCCAGGGCCUGCACUGCCCACUACCAGGACCCCAGCGGAACCCAGCAUCUGGUCACUAGGGGUCUGCAUGGGCAGUCACUUCCUGGGGGCCUGCACCCCUUAAGGAGGGUGAAGGACGGGCCAGCCCAGCUGGGGCUGAAUCCUCACAGCCUUGUUCACAGGGAGAGGCUGACCUGCGCCCAUUUUACAGACAACAAAACUGAGGCUGAGAGAGUAACAGCCCGGCCAGCACAUGGCAGAGCGUGGCGCAGGCCCAGGCCUGCCUUGUGAGGUCCCUGCCGUUCCCUGCAGGGUACAUAGAGGCGGAAGCUGAUGUGGCCCCCACUGGGCGUUCUUUCACUUUCUCUCCUUUGAUUCCACAGUCCUCAGACCUAGGAAUUAAAGAAACGUCCGUAGUUUCCG
Molecule: long non-coding RNA, 1423 nt
Organism: Homo sapiens (human)
Lineage: Eukaryota; Metazoa; Chordata; Mammalia; Primates; Hominidae
Gene: LNCRI
Product: lncRNA radiation induced regulator of PLK1 and RAD51
Source: Ensembl